GUCUGUGUGAUGAUUUAUAAGUCGGAUACCCCUUCACUCACUAAGUGAUAACUUCUAUCUGAUGGAC
Xenopus laevis (African clawed frog) is the source of this 67-nucleotide small nucleolar RNA. RefSeq annotates it as small nucleolar RNA SNORD101. Lineage: Eukaryota; Metazoa; Chordata; Amphibia; Anura; Pipidae. The record is from RefSeq and is a predicted model, not a curated record. The transcript has a single exon.